GUGUAUGGGAAGAAAAUUUAGAAUUGAAUAAAGGGACAAAAAGCAGCUUGUGGUAGUUAGAGAACUGAAAGCAGGGGAGGUGUGUAUAGGUCAUAGAAAGUGUGUGGUACUUAUUAAGAAAUAAAUUAAAAGGGGACAUAAAAUAUCAUAGAAUCAUGGAGUUGUACCAUCAUGUGCAAGCUGACCUUUCUGCCCAUCUACACUAAUCCCAUUUACGUCUACAUAUGAUCAGAGAGAGACAGGACAGAAAGUGGAGUGAGACUGGCAACUCAACAAUCCAGGGUGCAGAAUUUUAAAGCUUGACACGCAGGCCUCGAAGAGGAGUUGACUUUUUAAAAAUGAAUAAUGAAUACGCUGCCAUGGAAUGAGUAAUGUUGCCUCAUUAGGCUUUUCAAAUGAGAUCAUAUCAGAAAUAAAAAGAGUGUAUUCAUUCUGCUGGGGGAUAUCGGAGUCAAUACUUUCUUGACCUUGCCUACUAACAUGUUUGUCUAAAUGAAUCUGAAACAUAGCAUUGUAUUUGUUUCUACCACCUGGCAGCAGGUUCCAGAUAUUGAUCACUUAGUGUAAAAAAAAUCUACCGCUUAGAUCCCUGUUAAAACAUCUUUCUCUCAGCUUAAAAGUUUCCCCUUUGCUUUUUGAUACCCUUACUAUCGCAAAAAAAUACCAUCUAGUCUAUCAAUGUUUCUCAUAAUCAGAUAUGCUUCUAUCACAUCACAUCUCAGCCUCUUUCACUCCAAGGAAAACAAAUCUAUUUAACUCUCUGUGAAUAAAACAUUCCAACUCAGGCAACAUCCUGGUGAACAGAGACAUCAAAGAGGGCAGAUCUGGAGCAAAAACCAAACAGUUGGAAUAAUUCAUCAGGUCAGGAAGCAUCUGUGGAGGCAAAGGGUGGUGAACCUCCUCUCCAGGGCAAUUGUAUUUUUCAUAUGAUAUCGUGAUUAGAAUUGCACAGAAGAACUAUGAGUUAGAACUUAGAACACACGAACCGGCCAAUUGGCCCACAGUGCUGUGCCGUAGCAAUUAAAUUAGUAAACAAAUGGCCAAUAAGCUAAUUUCCUCUGCCUACACAAUGUCCAUAUCCUUCUAUUUCCUUCACAUUCAUGUGCCUAUCUAGAAAUCUCUUAAAAGUCCCAGACAUACCUUCCUCUACCACCACCCCAGGUAGCGCGUUCCAAGCAUCCACCUCCUUGACCUCCUUUAAACUUACCCCCCUCACCUUAAAUGCAGGACCUCUGGUAUUAGACAUUACAACACUAUAAAAAAUAUACUAUCUAUGUACUCCACCUAUGCCACUCAACCUCUAUCAGAUAUUCCCCAGACACCAGUUUUGAGGAAGUAAGUCUACAGAAGGACUUAGACAGAUUAGGAGAACGGGCAAAGAAAUGGCGGGUGGAAUAUAGUGUUGGGAAGUGUGAUAGAAGAAAUCAAAGUAUUGACUAUUGUCUAAAUGGAGAGAAAAUACAAAAAUCUGAGGUGCAAAGGGAUUUGGAAGUCCUUGUGCAGGAUUCCCUAAAGGUUAAUUUGCAGGUUGAGUCCAUGGUGAGGAAGGCAAAGUUCAAAUUCAUUUCAGGAGGACUAGCAUAUAAAAGCAAGGAUGUAAGGUUGAAACUUUGUAAAGCACCGGUGAGGCCUCACUUGGAGUAUUGUAAGCAGGUUUUGGACCCCUUAUCUUAGGAAGGAUGUACUGAAACUGGAGAGGUUUCAAAGGAGGUUCACAAAAAUGAUUCCAGGAUUGAAAGGUUUGUCUCAAGAAGAGCAUUUGAUGGCUCUGGGGCUGUGUUCACUAGAAUUUGGAAGAAUGAGGGGUGACCUUAUUUAAACCUAUUGAAUGGUGGAAGACCUUGAUAGAGUGGAUAUGGAAAGGGUGUUCCUAUGAUCAAAGAGUCUAAGUCCAGAGGACACAGCCUCAGAACAGAGAAGCGUCCUUUUAGAAUGGAGGUGAGGAGGAAUUUCUUUAGCCAGAUGGUGGUGAAUCUGUGGAAUUAUUUGCCACAGGCAGCUGUGGAGGCUAAGUCUUUAUGUAUAUUUAAGGCAGAGGUUGAUAGAUUCUUGACUGGUCAGUGCAUGAAGGAAUACGGAGAGAAGGCAGGAGACUGGGGCUUAGAGAAAAAUUGGAUCAGCCAUGACGAUAUGGCAGAGCAGACUCAAUAGGCCAAAUGGCCUAAUUCUGCUGCUAUAUCUUAUGGUCCCACACAAAUAUGAUUGCAUAGCGGAGAACACAGAGAAAAGUUGCCAGGAUGCUGCUUGGAUUCAAGGACUUUAGAUAUGGGAAGAGUUUGGAUACACUGCGAUGGUUUUCCUUCGAGUGAAGAAGGCUGAAGAAUAACUUAAUGGAGGUAUAUAAAAUGAUAAGAAGUAUAGACAGAGUAAUCAGCAUUUUUUUUCCUAUGGUAGGACACCAAAAGCAAUAUUUAUGGUUUAAGGCAUAGGUUUAAGUGAGAAGGAAGUGUUUUAAUGGGGAUCUGAAGGGAAAGUCUUUUACAUAGCUGAAAUUGGCUACCAUAGGAGGUGGUGGAAUCAGUUAGGGUUACAGUGUUUAAGUGGUAUUGGACAGGCAAGGCACAGAAGGGUGCAGGAAAAUGGAAUUAGUGUAUAUGGGCAAAAUGUUUGCCAUGGAUGUAGUGGUCUGAAGGGCUUGUAUCUGAGCUGUGUAACUCCUAUAACUUUAUGUCAAACUCAUAAAGAAAAAAGGCUCAUGGCUGGAAGUAGUGACUUGGUUUGGUAUGAUGCCAACAUUGAAAUAAUGGGCUGAAUGGUCUUGUGUGCAGUAUACCAUUUAUGAUUCUGUAUUUCAAUGACUUGAUGAUAGUUAGCAUUAGCCUCCUCAUUUAAAUUUCUUAAUUGCUGUUCCCACAUCUCGUUAUUGUUCAUUGUUCAUCUUCAUUGUUGCAGAAGAUGACUGUAUCUCAUAAUGAUUGAGAACGAAGGUACUGCUCACAAUAUGCAUGCUUUCAAAUAGUGUACUCUCCACUGGUUGAAUUGAUGCAAUCCAAUUUUCAGCCCACAAUGUCUCAUAUUUUAAAGGAGUGCAAAAUCAGAUAGAGCUGAGCCUCUUUAGUUAAUAUAUUGCAGACAGCCUUAGCCUAUGGGCUUCUUGUUUAAAGCUCUCUGGCAACACAUAGACACCCCAGAUUGAUAACACGUGACAACUCGUGCAACUUAUCCAGUCUAUCCUUCCUUGAAGCUUGUAUAUAAAGAGCUCACAAAAACAUUGGCUAUGAGAGUUGCUAACUACCACCUUGUCAAAAACAUCAAGAUUUUUUAAAAAAAGGGAUCCAGUGAAGAGAUAAUUUUACUUAAAUCAUCCAUCUCUAUACAAGAUACUUGUUCAACAAUGCUUAACCCACUGCAAAGAAUGAUACCUGGAUAUAUCAGAAUACUGAAGGCUAAGGCUCCUGGAAAAUUGCCUCCAUGUAGGACAGACGCACUGAUGCAACGCUCAGCCUUGUUUCUUGGCAUGUUAGGCUUCAGCAUGAAUUAUUACAGUACAUGGCAAAUGCACCUCCAGCAGAAGUCAGCCUGAAAUGUUGAAGUCGGACACUGAUGAGGUCAAUGCUGCCUGUUCAGAGUUGAACAAUGAAGUUGACAUGGUGAUGGAUGUCAUCAGACUGCAUAUCUUACUAUGCGCAAUGGCUCGAUAUUCAAAAUGCAAAUACACUAUGAGAGCAAUAAUUUGUCCUUGCAAAAGGAAUUGGCGUCACCAGUGCAGAGUGUUUGUAUUCUGAGAAAUUCUGCUGUUUGUAAUUACUUACCUGAGAUGAGAAUUUAGGAUAAGCUAUGCUGAAGUAGGGUGUGGAAGAAACAGAUAAUGUGACGUGCAGUGCUGCCAUAGACUGUAAUGCACACUGUAUCACCUGUUUGAAAUCCAUUCAAAAGAUUCUAUUGCUCUCUUCUCAAAGGACUACAGUAAUCUGAAAAAUGAAUGCAAACUAAGCUAACUAAUUGAUUAUUGUAUCUUCCUUUUAUGGAUGAAAAUGAGCGUGAUAGGAGAAAGAUUGAGAUAAAUGCACCAAAAAGAUAAAUGUAUCUAAAGGAAUCAAAACAUUAACUUUUAUUAAGGCUUGAAAAUGUUGGAUUAAGUUGAGGCUUCCACGGUUUGUUGUCUCAUCAGGUUUAUCUUAAUUUUCUGUCAAGGAUCAAUAGAACCAUUGAAAAUGAACAAAAAUAAAUAAUCCAAUGAAUUAUUA
Molecule: long non-coding RNA, 4187 nt
Organism: Mobula hypostoma (lesser devil ray)
Lineage: Eukaryota; Metazoa; Chordata; Chondrichthyes; Myliobatiformes; Myliobatidae
Exons: 2
Source: RefSeq, a predicted model, not a curated record